CACGUAGGGGGCAAGCGUUGUCCGGAUUUAUUGGGCGUAAAGAGCUCGUAGGCGGUUCGGUAAGUCGGGUGUGAAACCUCCAGGCUCAACCUGGAGACGCCACCCGAUACUGCUGUGACUAGAGUCCGGUAGGGGAGCGUGGAAUUCCUGGUGUAGCGGUGAAAUGCGCAGAUAUCAGGAGGAACACCAGCGGCGAAGGCGGCGUUCUGGACUGUUUCUGACACUGAAUAACGAAAGCCAGGGGAGCAAACGGG
RNAcentral lists this ribosomal RNA (254 nucleotides) under uncultured bacterium. RNAcentral's name for it is "partial 16S ribosomal RNA". It matches the Rfam family "Bacterial small subunit ribosomal RNA", at positions 524 to 776 of the family's 1533-position model. The record is from RNAcentral.